UUAUAUAAGAGUUAUGAAUCAGCAGUAUGCGUAUAACCAUCACCAUUAGAAAAAACAACACAGAAAAGUUGUAGAUUUAUAGGUAUGUCUAUUUUUCUUCGUUAGUUCUUAUGAGUAUUCAUGAAGUUGUAUACUCUUGUUUAUUCGAAUUCUUACUCUGCUGUUAUUAAUCAUUUUGCUGCAAUAAAUAAUUAGAAAAUUAAGUUGUUCUACUGAGAUUAGAAUGAGAAAAAACGUGACAGAGAAGCUGCAUAAACGCCGCAUCAUCACUGAAGACGAUAGUAUCCUUUUCCCUCCCCAAGAAUGUAAUGAGGAAUUAAGAAUGAGGACAUUUUACUUUUGAGGUAUAGCACAGUUGGCACUACUUUCUUUCUUUCCAAAUAUUUGUUGCCUAAAGAUAAAUAGGUAAAAUAAAAAAAUUUAAAGUUAAAUUAUUUCUAAUUAUAAAAAUGUGUCAUUUUUUUUGGAACAGACUAAUAAGGAAAGUAUGUCAUCUAAAUUGAAACAGAGGGAGUACUAUAUUUCAUAAUACAGUUAUAUUUAUACAAUUUAACUAAUAUUUUUUUGGUGAAUUCAAAGAUGAAUAAAUUUUUAAUCAGACAAAGAGCGGGUUCGCAGAUUUAUUGAGGGUCUCCACCCUAGUAUCAGAUUCAGUAUGGCAUGAGAGCUAGAGAUAGACAUCACAUACCAACAGGUGGUGUCAAUUGCUAGGAGAUUCGAAGGUAUGCGUAUCCGGGAGAGGGAAGAGAGGGAAGCUAAGAGACCCCGAGAUUCUGGCACAUAUAAUAAUUCUCGUGCCCCAGCUGCAGCCCGUCAUGGAAGAGGUUAUGUGAGCCGUCCUAUUCAUUCAGCACUUCCAACUUCUAGUGGUAUUCCGGUUACUCCCAGACCUCAGGUUCCAUAUUAUGCACCGCCAGUGUCUUCUGUACCUCCUGUACGGGGUGCCUUCAACGGGCAGUCUAGUUGAUCAGGCCCGAGCCAGUCCCAGCAGCUACAUCCUCCGAGGUCUUGUUUUGAAUGUGGUGACACUCGUCAUAUAAUGAGGGAUUGCCCCAGACUUAGGAGGGGUGCACCUCCACAGAUUUCUCAGGCCUCACCCAUUCCACAGAGCCCUCAGGCUUCUCAGGCCAUGAUCACUGCACCAGUUUCUGAGUCCACUUGCACAACCAGCUAGAGGUGGAGGUCGGACAGGUAGAGGUCGCCCUGGGGGGGGGGGGGGUGUAGGCUAGAUAUUAUGCCAUUCCUGCUAGAAUAGAGGUCGUUGCAUCUGAUUAUGUUAUCA
RNAcentral lists this long non-coding RNA (1282 nucleotides) under Nicotiana tabacum (common tobacco). Its description in RNAcentral is "long non-coding RNA (NTAB_LNC015408)". The record is from RNAcentral. Lineage: Eukaryota; Viridiplantae; Streptophyta; Magnoliopsida; Solanales; Solanaceae.